GAUGAACGCUGGCGGCGUGCUUAACACAUGCAAGUCGAACGAUGAAGCCCAGCUUUCUGGGUGGUUUCGUGGCCAACGGGUGAGUAACACGUGAGUAACCUGCCCUUGUCUCUGGGUUAAGUCUGGUAAACUGGGUCUAAUACUUGAUAUGACUUCUCUUCGCCUGGUUGGGGGUGUAAUGAUUUAUUGGUAUUGGAUGGACUCGAGGCCUAUCAGCUCGUUGGUGAGGUAAUGGCUCACGAAGGCCACGCCGGGUAGCCGACCUGUGAGGGUGAACAGCGACAAGGGGACUGAGAGACGGAGCAGAAGCGAACGGGAGGCAGCAGUGGGGAACAUGGCACAAUGGGCGCAAGCCAGAUGCAGAGACGCCGGGUGAGGGAUGAAGGGCUAUGGGUUGUAAACAAAUGUGAGUAGGGAAGAAGAGAGAGUGACGGUACCUGCAGAAGAAGCGACGGCUAACUACGUG
This 466-nucleotide ribosomal RNA is filed under the name uncultured bacterium. Its description in RNAcentral is "partial 16S ribosomal RNA". It matches the Rfam family "Bacterial small subunit ribosomal RNA", at positions 28 to 507 of the family's 1533-position model. The record is from RNAcentral.